GAAAAAGAUGUUUAUUUAAAAGUGAAUGGUAUAGUAAAAUAUGGUGAUUAAAUUAAUUUUGAAUAGAGACGAAAAGUAGAUUUUAUUGAAAUAAAUUUGGAAAUUAUAGUAAAUAGUAUUGUAAAAGAAUAUUUAAAUAUAGUGAAAAUGAAAUUGAGUGAAAGAAAUUUUUAUAUUUGUACUUUGUGUAUUACGGAUUUUUAAAAUUAUAUUAGGAGGUAAUGUAUCCCGAAAAAGAAAGAGUUAUAAUUAUAUGAAAGUUUUUAUAUCACUAAAAUUUUGAAUAUAAUUAUAGGAGUGAAAUGCUAUGACGGGUUUUUAUAUCUGGUUUAUUAAGAAAUGAAUUUAAUUCUAGAUAGAUAUUAAUUUAAAAUAUUUAAUCUAAGAAUAUAAGGGUAGAGCUUUAUCAUUCAAUAAUAAGUGAAAUAUAAGUUAAUAAGUAUUUAUUUUGAUAAUUAGGUUUUUUAGUGGCCAUAUUUUUAAAGUGUUUUAACUAAUAUAAUUGAAUAAUUUAUUUAUUAGAUUUUAUUAAAUUAAUAAUAUGUUUUUUAAAAUGGAUAAAUAUUAGAAAUAAUGAAAAUAUUAGUAGAAUUAAUAUAUGAGAAAAAAGAAAAGUAUUAAAAGUAAAAUAUGAAAUAGUUAAGAAAAAAAUAGAGGAACUCGGCAAAUAAGGUUCUUGCCUGUUUAACAAAAACAUGUCUCUAUGAAGUUAUAUGAAGUCUGACCUGCCCAUUGAAAUUUAUUAAAAGGCCGCGGUAUAUUAACUGUGCAAAGGUAGCAUAAUUAGUAGUUUUUUAAUUGAAGGCUUGUAUGAAAGGUUGGACAAGGGAUAAGCUGUCUUUAUUUUUAUUUUUGAAUUUGUCUUUUAAGUGAAAAGACUUAAAUAAGUUUAAGGGACGAUAAGACCCUAUAAAUCUUUAUAUUAGUUUAAUUUUAUUUUAAAUUUUAAUGUUUAAAAGAGUAAAGUUAAUACAGUAUUGUAUUGGGGUGAUAGGAAUAAUUAGUAAACUGUUCGAAGGUAUAAACAAAAAUAUUUGAUAUAUAAUUAUUAGUAGAUCCUUAGUGGAGAUUACAAGUUUAAGUUACUUUAGGGAUAACAGCGUUAUUUUUUUUGAGAGUUCUAAUCGAAAAAGAAGUUUGCGACCUCGAUGUUGAAUUAAAAUUUCUUUGUGGUGUAGUAGUUACAAGAGAGAGUCUGUUCGACUUUUAAAAUUUUACAUGAUUUGAGUUCAGACCGAUGUGAAUCAGGUUGGUUUCUAUCUUUAAAUGAUUUGUUAUAUUAUUUUAGUACGAAAGGACCAAAUAAAUAAAAAUAUUUUUAUAGAUUGAAUUGGUUUAUUACUUUGGCAGAAGUUAAUGUAGUAGGUUUAGGACCUA
RNAcentral lists this ribosomal RNA (1377 nucleotides) under Allogalathea elegans. RNAcentral's name for it is "16S ribosomal RNA". The stretch from base 1093 to 1251 matches the Rfam family "Bacterial large subunit ribosomal RNA", at positions 2473 to 2632 of the family's 2925-position model. Lineage: Eukaryota; Metazoa; Arthropoda; Malacostraca; Decapoda; Galatheidae. The record is from RNAcentral.